GUGUUCGAUUGGGCAGCAAACAGACUGAAAUUGGAACAAUUCAUAGAAGAUUAGCAUGGACCCUGUGCAAGGAUGACAAGCAGAUUCAUGAAGGCUUCCAUAUUUUU
Molecule: small nuclear RNA, 107 nt
Filed under: Procavia capensis (Cape rock hyrax)
Lineage: Eukaryota; Metazoa; Chordata; Mammalia; Hyracoidea; Procaviidae
Source: RNAcentral